AGGACGAACGCUGGCGGCGUGCUUAACACAUGCAAGUCGAGCGGAAAGGCCCUUCGGGGUACUCGAGCGGCGAACGGGUGAGUAACACGUGAGUAAUCUGCCCCUAGCUCUGGGAUAGCUCCGGGAAACCGGGAUUAAUACCGGAUACGACCACCUUAGACAUCUUUUGUGGUGGAAAGAAUUUCGGCUAGGGAUGAGCUCGCGGCCUAUCAGCUUGUUGGUGGGGUAACGGCCUACCAAGGCGACGACGGGUAGCCGGCCUGAGAGGGCGACCGGCCACGACUGGGACUGAGACACGGCCCAGACUCCUACGGGAGGCAGCAGUGGGGAAUAUUGCGCAAUGGGCGAAAGCCUGACGCAGCGACGCCGCGUGGGGGAUGAAGGCCUUCGGGUUGGUAAACCUCUUUCAGUAGGGACGAAGCGAAAGUGACGGUACCUGCAGAAGAAGCACCGGCCAACUACGUGCCAGCAGCCGC
RNAcentral lists this ribosomal RNA (476 nucleotides) under uncultured bacterium. RNAcentral's name for it is "SSU rRNA". It matches the Rfam family "Bacterial small subunit ribosomal RNA", at positions 26 to 518 of the family's 1533-position model. The record is from RNAcentral.